Molecule: ribosomal RNA, 551 nt
Filed under: Thelephora cf. terrestris DL-2015
Lineage: Eukaryota; Fungi; Basidiomycota; Agaricomycetes; Thelephorales; Thelephoraceae
Description: eukaryotic LSU rRNA
Rfam family: 5.8S ribosomal RNA (bases 132-286)
Source: RNAcentral
CUCACACCUGGGCACCCUCUGUAGGUCUAUGGGCUGGGGGACCCUGUCUUCCUUCUGUGGUUCUACGUCUCUACACACACACUGUAAUAAAGUUUUAUGGAAUGUACAUCGCGUCUAACGCAAUACAAUACAACUUUCAGCAACGGAUCUCUUGGCUCUCGCAUCGAUGAAAAACGCAGCGAAAUGCGAUAAGUAAUGUGAAUUGCAGAAUUCAGUGAAUCAUCGAAUCUUUGAACGCACCUUGCGCCCCUUGGCUAUUCCGAGGGGCAUGCCUGUUUGAGUAUCAUGAACACCUCAACUCUCAUGGUUUGCCAUGAUGAGUUGGACUCUGGGGGUUUUGCUGGCCUGUGGUCAGCUCCUCUCAAAUUAAUCACCCUCCCAGUGUUUGGUGGCAUCACGGGUGUGAUAAAUAUCUACGCUCGCUGUUGUCUGCCAGGUAACCUUUGGUCACAGAAGUUUGCUGGAGCUCACAGAUGUCUCUCCUCACCGAGGACAGCUUUUUUAACGUUCGAUCUCAAAUCACGUAGGACUACCCGCUGAACUUAAGCAUA